AACGAACGCUGGCGGCAGGCCUAACACAUGCAAGUCGAACGCCCCGCAAGGGGAGUGGCGCACGGGUGAGUAACGCGUGGGAACCUGCCCUUCGGUUCGGGACAACCCAGGGAAACUUGGGCUAAUACCGGAUGAGCUCCGCGAGGAGGAAAGAUUUCUCGCCGGAGGAGGGGCCCGCGUCGGAUUAGGUAGUUGGUGAGGUAACGGCUCACCAAGCCUUCGAUCCGUAGCCGGUCUGAGAGGAUGAUCGGCCACACUGGGACUGAGACACGGCCCAGACUCCUACGGGAGGCAGCAGUGGGGAAUAUUGGUCAAUGGAUGGAAGUCUGAACCAGCCAUGCCGCGUGCAGGAAGAAGGCCUUCUGGGUUGUAAACUGCUUUUGCCAGGGGAUAAAAUGACCUUGCGAGGUUAAUUGAAGGUACCUGGUGAAUAAGCCACGGCUAACUACGUGCCAGCAGCCGCGGUAAU
Molecule: ribosomal RNA, 469 nt
Filed under: uncultured bacterium
Lineage: Bacteria
Description: bacterial SSU rRNA
Rfam family: Bacterial small subunit ribosomal RNA
Source: RNAcentral